CCUGGAGAAAGAAUUGAGGACAGCUGGAACCAGUCAUCGGAAAGUGGUUCUCUACUGAUUUCAAUGAAACUCAAGGUCAGAGGACAUGACAGUGCCAACCUCACAGAGUGACAAUGAGGGAAACAGCAGUCAAGAAACCAGCACCGGACACAGGAAAACCCAGAGGAUUUAACAACCAAUCGUGUGAACACCCAGAUACAAGUCAGCGUGGUGUCUGCUUUCCUGAGAAACUGACUUUCCAAGCUGGACCCUGGUCCUGGCCUAAUUCAGAGAAGCAAGAAGAGGAGAAGGCUCUGAAGAAGACGUGCACAGAGUAGCUGGCUGGACUUGGCUGCAGCUUUCAAAAGGUUCACUCUAUGUGGAGGACGAAAUAAAGGCAAUUGCUUGCAGAGGAUGCUGAAACCA
RNAcentral lists this long non-coding RNA (405 nucleotides) under Felis catus (domestic cat). RNAcentral's name for it is "lncRNA (ENSFCAG00000051381.1)". The record is from RNAcentral. Lineage: Eukaryota; Metazoa; Chordata; Mammalia; Carnivora; Felidae.